AGCUAAAUAGUUUAUAUAAAACAUUAAUUUUGUAAUUUAAUAUAAGAUAUCUUUAUCUUUUAGCUU
This 66-nucleotide transfer RNA is filed under the name Sphecodes ephippius. Its description in RNAcentral is "tRNA-Thr". Lineage: Eukaryota; Metazoa; Arthropoda; Insecta; Hymenoptera; Halictidae. The record is from RNAcentral.